RNAcentral lists this ribosomal RNA (305 nucleotides) under uncultured bacterium. RNAcentral describes it as "bacterial SSU rRNA". It matches the Rfam family "Bacterial small subunit ribosomal RNA", at positions 337 to 641 of the family's 1533-position model. The record is from RNAcentral.
CCCUACGGGAGGCAGCAGUGGGGAAUAUUGCACAAUGGGGGAAACCCUGAUGCAGCGACGCCGCGUGAGUGAAGAAGCGUUUCGGCGCGUAAAGCUCUGUCAGCGGGGAAGAAACACGGUUCGCGAGAGCCGCGGACGGUACCCGACCAAGGAGCCCCGGCUAACUACGUGCCAGCAGCCGCGGUAAUACGUAGGGGGCAAGCGUUAUCCGGAUUUACUGGGUGUAAAGGGGGCGCAGACGGCGAUGCAAGCCAGGAGUGAAAGCCCGGGGCCCAACCCCGGGACUGCUCUUGGAACUGCGUGGG